RNAcentral lists this ribosomal RNA (459 nucleotides) under uncultured bacterium. RNAcentral describes it as "partial 16S ribosomal RNA". It matches the Rfam family "Bacterial small subunit ribosomal RNA", at positions 338 to 795 of the family's 1533-position model. The record is from RNAcentral.
CCUACGGGAGGCAGCAGUGAGGAAUAUUGGUCAAUGGGCGCGAGCCUGAACCAGCCAAGUCGCGUGAGGGAAGAUGGUCCUAUGGAUUGUAAACCUCUUUUGUCGGGGAGCAAAAGACGCCACGCGUGGCGUUCCGAGAGUACCCGAAGAAAAAGCAUCGGCUAACUCCGUGCCAGCAGCCGCGGUAAUACGGAGGAUGCGAGCGUUAUCCGGAUUUAUUGGGUUUAAAGGGUGCGCAGGCGGAAGAUCAAGUCAGCGGUAAAAUUGAGAGGCUCAACCUCUUCGAGCCGUUGAAACUGGUUGUCUUGAGUGAGCGAGAGGUAUGCGGAAUGCGUGGUGUAGCGGUGAAAUGCAUAGAUAUCACGCAGAACUCCGAUUGCGAAGGCAGCAUACCGGCGCGCAACUGACGCUCAUGCACGAAAGUGUGGGUAUCGAACAGGAUUAGAUACCCUGGUAGUC